GCUCAUUGGACCCGGGGGCGGUACCCGGCGCCUCCACCAAAGUAUAAUUGAAGGAAUUAUACUUUGGCGGGGGCGAAAUAGGAUCGACAAGAGUGUAAAGAUUGCUCUUUUACUCGGCAUUGUACCACCGUUAUCGGACUAAAUGAGUAGUUGCAAAUGACAACUAUGCGGAAGCACGUCUCGCCGCUUAAGCGGUGCGAAUGUUUCAAACUAAGUCUUAAUCUGUCGCAAGGUUAAGCGGGGUUCGAAGG
This 251-nucleotide transfer-messenger RNA is filed under the name Bartonella bacilliformis. Its description in RNAcentral is "transfer-messenger RNA Barto_bacil_KC583". It matches the Rfam family "Alphaproteobacteria transfer-messenger RNA", at positions 81 to 331 of the family's 355-position model. From Rfam's summary of the family: Bacterial tmRNA, also known as 10Sa RNA or SsrA, is named for its dual tRNA and mRNA-like properties. Its role is to liberate the mRNA from a stalled ribosome. Lineage: Bacteria; Pseudomonadati; Pseudomonadota; Alphaproteobacteria; Hyphomicrobiales; Bartonellaceae. The record is from RNAcentral.